RNAcentral lists this ribosomal RNA (220 nucleotides) under uncultured bacterium. Its description in RNAcentral is "partial 16S ribosomal RNA". It matches the Rfam family "Bacterial small subunit ribosomal RNA", at positions 326 to 539 of the family's 1533-position model. The record is from RNAcentral.
ACGCUCGACACCUAGAGGCAGCAGUAGGGAAUCUUCCACAAUGGACGCAAGUCUGAUGGAGCAACGCCGCGUGAGUGAAGAAGGUUUUCGGAUCGUAAAGCUCUGUUGUUGGUGAAGAAGGAUAGAGGUAGUAACUGGCCUUUAUUUGACGGUAAUCAACCAGAAAGUCACGGCUAACUACGUGCUAGCAGCCGCGGUAAUCUGAGCGGGCUGGCAAGGC